Molecule: long non-coding RNA, 4526 nt
Organism: Lolium rigidum
Lineage: Eukaryota; Viridiplantae; Streptophyta; Magnoliopsida; Poales; Poaceae
Exons: 2
Source: RefSeq, a predicted model, not a curated record
UUGGACAAUUGGGCUUUGUUUGCUUUGUCCAGACCGAGCCGAGGCUUGGUAGCUCUAUAGGACAGCUGGGGUAGUUGGUUCGUACGCGUAAUAAAGAGGCUAAGAAAUCAAGCGAUUUCCGCGCGCUGCCAGAACUUGCCUUUUCUGGACGUGGGAAAACAGUCGGGAAUUCUUUUCCUCUUUUGGGGUGAGGGCUGGUUUGGACUAACCAGCCCCCGGAGGCUGCCUAGUCAGGUCCUAUUUUUUUUUAAUCCGCCUCUUCUCCAGUUCUCCUCCUCCUCCGUCGCCGGUUGACCACGUCUCUUCCCGGGCCCCUCACCUCUCCUUCUUCCUCACCAGCAGCCUCUCCCUUCUCUGCUCAGCCGAUCUUGGCUCCCCCUCUUCCCUCCACGCAAGGCGCCAGAACCCAUGGGCCAUGGCGUUAGGCGGCCUAUCACAGGCGCGGCGGCGCCCCCCGCACCCUCACCUCCUCAGAUGUGAUGGCUGGCAACCUCGCCUGCCUAAUCCCUUUAGGUGGUUGCCCUGGCCGCGAGGCAGCGGCGAAGUCUGCAGUUCCUCUCACAACGGAAGUGGCGCGAAUUUCCACUAGCCGAAGCUCCUCCGUUGCCGCUGGCCGUCGCGUUGGUCGGAUCUUCCUUCGAUAUCGUCGUCGUUGCCUCCCCCAUCCCCUGCCCCGCCUCUUCUCGGCAACGAGUCGUCGCUCACGUAAGCCGGCACACCGGCUCCGGACGCGUCUGCCACUGCGGAAACGAGCGAUGCGGUCCCGUCCUCCUGGAGGCGUCGCGGCCCUCACGCUCGGGGCGCCGACGAGCUCCUACAUGCACGCGCCGUCAGCAGGCGCGAAGUGCUGACCUGACGGAGAUGGCGCGGUCGUUGCGCUGGAACAACGCGCGCUGCGUCUGGGGAUGAUACCACGAGAGUUGGCAUGGAGCUGAGGCGGAGCAGCAUCGGCGUCACCGCGUGCCUAACCGGGAGUGCGGCCAACAAGUCCUGCAGGGGCGCGCCGGGCUGAUGGAGGUUGCUGUUGAGGGACAUCAGGCCCUUCGGAUCCGGAGGGAGGCGAUACUGAUCCAGAGGAGGAUGAAUUCAUGUAUGCGUCAGCCCCCAGGUUAGACUGCUGACUGUGUGUGUUUGUUUUAUUUGAAGUUGUUUCAGUGUUCGGAUUGGUGUGAGUUUUAAUCGAAUUUGACUAGAACGUCAUAUGUUACUCCAGUCCAGCUUAAUGAGGGCGCGUAGGGGUACUUGCAAACCAGGUACCAGUAAGUCACUUGCACUUGAGCCAAUGCAGAACAGGAAUCCAGACAACAGUAAUACUGUUUGUUUACAUGUGAAUUGUGUUUACUGCUAAACACUUUGAUGUAGUGCUUAUCAUUCUGCUGUUUCCUAUGUAUCCAUGAUCAUCGAUGGUUCUGAGCUGUUCACCGCAGUAGAGUGUGUUUGUUUACAUGUGAAUUGUGUUAAUUGUCAUCGCCCAAGAAAGAGGUGUAGACUCCUAAAAUGCUUACCGUAUUAUUUAUCAUCCUUUAUGGGGCAUGGAUCUAAGAGGAGCCACUCCAUCUUUGUGUCUUUGUUAGUGAUUUUUCCUCCUUUCUAAUUUGAGCUUUGCAAAGUCUUGGAGUGGACUGUUUCAUUCACACCUUACAGAUGCUUUAUGUUAUCCUCUGUACGGUCGUGUGCUGCCCACGAAAAAACAAUCUCCAGAUGCAUGAUCCCACUUCCCAGGUGCCUGCGAGCACAGAAGGAGCUCUCUGCGUUGAGUAACAGAUUUCAGAACUGUAUUUAUUUUUCCAUCUCUGCUUUUCGAUGAAAAUUAGUUUUGUUUUCUUAUGGCUGCAUGUAAGCAAGCCUGAGUCAAAGCUGAACAAACCCAGGAAACAAUUUAGUCCCGAUAUGAUGUUUUUCUCAUGAAAUGUAUUGUGAUUCUUUUGCCAUAACUGGACCUUUCUUUCUGACCUCUUGAAAGUCUCUGAUCUUUCUUUUCCUUCCUUAAACGUUCCACAAAUUAGGAAGAAUCUGGAAAAAAUGUUUCCUAAUCAGGACACAUAAUUCCAAUUGGAAAUUUCCUUCGUGUGCAACGAACACUACCUUCUUUCCUCUAGGAUUUCUCUUUUCUAUUUUUACCCUUUGUUGCACAUACGCAAACGAGCCCUGCCGCCGCGUUUCCGUCAUGACCAGAAACAUAGACGAACAUGGAGAUUGACUGACGUACAUUUCGAUUUAGGGCGGCUUGAAAUUUUGCGCAGGCGAGAUUUUUCAGUCCUCAUGAAGGCUAUCUUUUCUUCCAUUUUCGAUUUGGUUCAAGUAUUAUGUGGUACUGCUACAAGACAAUUAGUUCUGAUUUUGUAUAACCAAAUUUCAAGUGUUGAUAAUUGUAUUUGUUGUAUAAAGAGAACAUGGAAUGCACAGUUAUUUGACAUCGUUUUUUUCCUCAUGGUUCCUAUUUUUAUAGCUCCACAUGUGAGUUGCUGCUUAAGACAGACUUCAUAGCCUGUGUUGAUUAUUUUGAUCAUUAAGUUGUCUCAUCUAAAUUACCAUCUCUACCCAGUCCUUAAUACUUCCACUGCAAUAUUAAUUAACUGAAUGUUCCUCCCGUUUUGGAUUCUUUGUCGGUAGUAGUAAAGAAACCUGCAGCUCCUCACCUGGACGGUGCUCCUCCACCCUGUGGAUGGUCUGUCACCGCAAGGUGAGCACUCGAUAAUCAGCAGUGCUAGCGCCUGCUCCGGAUCAGGGAGCAUGGCAUCGCCUGGAAGCCGUCCUGCCACCACCCAAACAACGGCGAGAACGUCAACGCUGCAGUCGCGAGGUGGAGCUCUGAGAACCGUGGUAGCGAAGGAAUCCCGUAGUAGAAGCUGGUGAUUUUUGUCAUUGCACAUCACAAUUUCUGGUGACGCGUAUGUGAAGUCUAUUGCAAUUUUUAGAAGUGAAGGAAAACAUGGAGGCAAGCAACUGCAUUCCAUAAAAGUGAGAUUUAUUUUCCAAAAUUUCAUGCACCUAUGCAUAUACGGUAUAUAUUAAUAUUCACAAAGCCGUAGAGAUUGGAUCUUCUCUGAGAGUUUACUCAAUUUGAUCUAUAGAUGCUUACUACAUCUUCGAACCAACGUAAAUAAAUACCCUCCCUACGGUAUUCUCAAUUUUUAUUUUCCCUGUAGGAAUUAGUAUACACAUGCAUUUUGGGUGUCUGCAUGUACUUAUUACAUUCUUUUGUUUAUCAGAUCAGCAAGACCUCUACCAGUCAUAUACAGAUGUUUAGAUUAAGAAAAUUCUCGACUAAGGCAUAUCUAAAUCAAUAAAAUGUAGAAAUAGAAGCAGUGAAAUGCUACACCAGUAUCACCAGUUCAGCGCCAAGAGAGUAGCACACUUGGAACCCUGAAAGGCUGAAAACACAAGAUAUUACAAACAAUAAUACCUCCUGCCCUAAAUCCUGAAUCCUCUGUUAAAAUGAAUUUUAUUGCUGAUACAUGAUAGAAAAUUUGACUUCACAUAUUCUGAGUGUCUUUGUCUCGAUGCAUAUCUAAUUGGUGCAUAUGCAGUAACACUGCAUAUACUAGAGCACAAAAAUCGGGUUUUAUUUUCAGAAUCUGUGGCCGUAAGUGCACACGUUUCUAACUUCCGGUUUGCUAUUUUAACUACUUCAGUGACUGCCCACCAGUAAACAAGGUUAUUUCAUUGCAAGAGAAUCAUACUGUGGCUAAUGUUGACAUGGAUGCUUUGCAGUUUAAAGAUCGGAGCUUGCUACCUGGAAAAAAGUACUUUUACCUCUCACUGCUCUUCCUAUUCUGCCAGGAACUAAUUGAGACAUCAUUUUAUCAUUGAUUUCUGUUUCAUUAACUGAAGCUUGGUCUCCUCUUCUUAACUGCAAACAUGGUUUUGAAAUCAUAUUGAUGCAGUAAAAACCAUUUUUUGCACCAGAUAUGUGGUGACAACAAAUAAAGACUACAUACUAUGAUUAUCAUUUACCUUUUGAACAUGCCCUUAUGUACAUUGUGCUUACUUACCAUGUUAGAAACUAUAUUCGAAAGAGCAUGAUUGAAACAUACUUUUCUUGCAGAUAGCAGAAUGUGUAUCCAAGAGAGACCACUUGCUGAUAAAAUGAUCAAGUACAGUGUCUUAAAAUCUUUUGGAUUUCCUUUGGAUUGCCAAGUUUUCUUUUUCACAACAUGGAUUGAUAAUCAAACACUAGAUGGUGUUGUUCCACUGUUUUUUUUCCUGUACUUUAUCUUGGAUAUGAAAUUAGGAGAAUCCUGGGUGGCAUCUCUUGAUAGAAUCACUAAGGAUUCUCAGCUACAUCAAGUACUUCUAAGAAAAAUGUCUAGCUGUGAAGAAGCAGCACUUGAUUACUGUAAUAUUACCUCUAUGUAACUAUUAUAGGUACUUCUAUUAGCUUACCUGUUAUGACUUCUAGAAUUAAUCACUGGCACUAUUGUACUGCUUAGGCUUGCAUUCCUCCAUAUAAACAACCUAUAGGUUCAGAUGUUAUCACAGAAUUAUUAUGUGUCUUUCUUGGUUGGAAAAUUGUUGUGCAUGUA